Molecule: long non-coding RNA, 2417 nt
Organism: Piliocolobus tephrosceles (Ugandan red Colobus)
Lineage: Eukaryota; Metazoa; Chordata; Mammalia; Primates; Cercopithecidae
Source: Ensembl
GUGGUUUAAAUGGAGCAAGUGGUUUAAGUGACUCAUCAAAUGAUAACGAUGGUGCCAGCUCCACCUCUAGUAGUAGCAAUAAUCACAUAAAUACUGUGGAUUAUUUAAAAAAAAUGUCAAAAAAAAAUAAAAUAAAAGCUUUAUAUUAUGCUAAAAAAUGCUAUAAAAUAAUAACCACAACAUUAACUGAUUUAAAUUUUCAUUAUAUUUAUAUAUUUACUCUUAUGUUAUUAGGUCAUAUAGUAAUGUCUCUAAAUUAUUUUCAUAAAGCAAUCAAGUAUUAUACUUUAUCACUACAUACUGCAUUACAGAGUAAAUUCCCUGGAUUUAUUAUUUUACAAUGUAAAUGCUUACUAGCAGAUGCUUUAACGUAUAACGGUAAUUUUGAAAAAGCAAUCGAAAUGGUAGAAGAUUGUUUAAAAUAUGUUGAUAUAUCAUCUAACACUAACAAUUUAUCUUUAUAUAUUUUAUUUAGUUUGGCAAGAAUGAAACAAUAUAUUGGUUGUAAUGAUUUAUUAAGUCCGUACAUAAUUAUAAACAAAAAGGUGAAGAACUAUUUUAAUGAUAGUGAUAAUAUUAAUACCGAUCGAGUUGAUGGGGAUAAUCAUUUUAUUCAACAUAUAAAAAAAAAGAGUCAUAUAUUGACAGAUUUAAUAAAUUUUGAAAAAAAUUAUUUUAAUGAGAAAAAUAAAACUUACAGAAAAGAAGCAAUAGAUUUGUAUGUUACUUUAUUUUAUAAACUUAUGAUCCAACAAAAUUAUGCAAUAGUGUCAGCAAAAGAUAUAUAUGGUCACUUUUAUACAAAAGAAGAGUUAACAAAUAUAUACAAAGAUAAAAUGUUUCAGCCAUAUAAUUUUAUUAAUUAUAACCUAUUCCAUGAUAUAAAUAAAUAUAUUACUGUUAUAAAAGAGAUACUAAAAAUUAAAGUCAUUUCAUUAAGCAUUCGUAAACAAUUUACGUUAGCGUCCAAAUUAUUGGCUAUUGUUUUAUCUAAAAAUGCAUCUGAUUUUGUUCAUAAAUUAACUGUGAAAAAAAGUAAGAAAGAAUGUAGUAAACAUAAUUUAUUCACUUGUUUAAGAGAUGAAAAAAAUGUUAACAUGUUUAAUCAACUAAAAAGUGAUGAUAAUAAACAAAUCAAAUAUAAUGAAGGAUUCAUAAAUUCUUUGUAUGAAGAAUAUAAUAAUGAAGAAGCACUUACGAAUACUGUAUAUUUAAAUUAUAAUAGAAAAAAUAUAUCAAAACCGUUAAAUUUAAAACCUGGCACAUUUCAUUCAUCACAACAUAAAUAUCUUUACAAAAGAAGUUAUUACACUAAAGAGUAUGACUACGUAUCCAUAGUACAUAUUCUGUUUGAUGAAACUUAUUUUAACAUAAAAGAUAUUUGUAAGUAUUGUUAUUUACAGUGUGACAAAUGUAAUAAACGUAUGGAUGGGCGUACCAGUGCUGGUCCUGUUCCUGCUCCUGCUCCUGUUCCUGCUUCUGCUCCUGUUCCUGGUCCUGCUCUAGGUGCUGACCCCGGUCCUGAUCUUGGUGUGAGUACAAAAAACCAAAGUACUGACAAACAAAUGGAACCAACGUUGUCAAAUUUAAAAUGGGUAGAGCCCCAAUGGUCACAACUAAAAAAUUAUAAUGAUGAAAAUAAUGUAUUAAAUCCUAAUAUAUGGUUUGAUUUACUUUUUUUUAAAGUAAUGAAAGGUACUUGUACUAACACAGAGUUGAUUAUUUUAAUAGAUUUGUUUAGAUUCUUUUUAACUCCAACACAAAAGGAGUUAAUUUUGUAUCGAGUUGUAUCUUUGAACGACUCAAAAAAUGAUAUAUAUAACCAGAGUUACAUUAAAUAAAUGUGAUUUUAUAUGCUUAUUUAUUAUAGCCUCAUAUAAUGUAAUUAUUGUUUUUUUUUUUUUUUUUUUUUUUUUUUUUUUUUUUUUUUUUUUNNNNNNNNNNNNNNNNNNNNNNNNNNNNNNNNNNNNNNNNNNNNNNNNNNNNNNNNNNNNNNNNNNNNNNNNNNNNNNNNNNNNNNNNNNNNNNNNNNNNUUUUUUUUUUUUUUUUUUUUUUUUUUUUUUUUUUUUUUUUUUUUGCAAAUACUACUGCUAAAAAAAAAUAUGUUUAGGCCAACUAUAUGAUAAGGUAACAUAUUUUUAUGAAAUGUGUUAUUUUGUUUGUAAAAUAGAAGGCCUGGUGGGGAUAUGGGCGUUCAAACAUGAUACAUUGUGAUACAUUGUGAUACAUUGUGAUACAUUGUGAUACAUUGUUAUACAUUGUGAUACAUUGUGAUACAUUGUGAUACAUUGUUAUACAUUGUGAUACAUUGUUAUACAUUGUGAUACAUUGUUAUACAUUGUGAUACAUUGUGGUUUUAUUUAUAUAUUGUAAAAAAAAAAAAAAAAAUAUGCUGACUAAUUUUACACUACUAACA